RNAcentral lists this unclassified non-coding RNA (321 nucleotides) under Melitaea cinxia (Glanville fritillary). RNAcentral describes it as "misc RNA ENSMCXG00005020888.1". The record is from RNAcentral. Lineage: Eukaryota; Metazoa; Arthropoda; Insecta; Lepidoptera; Nymphalidae.
GCUACGAAAUGGCGGAUAAUUUAUGUUUUAUCGAUCCCAUCAAUAUGGGUAUCAAAUGAAAGUGCUCAACCAGUAUAAUCAAUGUACUAUAUAAAAUUAAAAUCCAAGAUGGCGGCCUCUACAAAAUGGCGGAUAACUUAGGUUUUAUCAAUCCCAUUAACAUGGGUAUCAAAUGAAAGGUCUCAACAAGUAGAAUACAAUUUACUAUGCAAAAUUGAAAUCUAAGCUGGCCGCCGCUACCAAAUGUCUGAUAUCAAUUUUUUAUCAAUCCCACCAAUAUGGGUAUCAAAUAAAAGGGCUUGACAAGAAGAAUACAGUGCA